This 3605-nucleotide long non-coding RNA is filed under the name Triticum aestivum (bread wheat). Its description in RNAcentral is "long non-coding RNA (TAES_LNC015816)". Lineage: Eukaryota; Viridiplantae; Streptophyta; Magnoliopsida; Poales; Poaceae. The record is from RNAcentral.
CUAGCUACCCCGUUCCCCUCCCCCUGGUCUUCAUCGUUCAGAUCCGCCCGCGAUUUCCACCGCCCGCCAUGGCCGACCUCGUCCUCGUGCCCACCGAGCUCUCCGGCACCUGAGACCUCGUCCAUCUUCUCCCUCAUCGUCCACCACUUCGUCUACGUCCACGAAUCGAGCUGGAACGCGCCGAGUCGAGCGGAACGAGAUCUUCUUCCACUCCGGCCACCGCGGCGCCAUCGUCGAUUCCGGCGCCCUCUGCUGCUCCUAAACCUCACAACGAGCCUCCUUGUGCUCCUCGGUGAGCACCGCGUGCUCCCCCUCCUCCUACCCCUCCAUAUCUAGCGCCGUAGAACUCUGCCCGUGCCGGGUUGCGCCUCGAAUGAACGCGUUGCCCCGCUCCCGGCCGCCCCUGUUAGCCCCGGCCCCGAGCCGCUCGCACCGUCCGCCCGCGAUGGCCUCGCCGUCGUCAGCCCCGCCGUCGCCCUGCUCGCCGUUUGCCGUUGCUGGUGUUGCUCCCGCCGAUAGUCACUGCUGCUGUUGCUACCGCGCACGGCCGCCGCAGCCACGCCCGAGCGCCAUGGCCGCCCCUGGCCUCGCCUCCAAGUGCCGCAUGCCGCACCCGCGGCUGCAGCCGCCCGCAGCGUUGCUGCUGCUCCACCGCAGCCCCGCGACGCCGCUGCCCCCUGCAGGUCGCCACAUCUCGCUGCAGCCGCCGCCUUGCCGUAGCUCCCCGCCCGUGACCUGCCUAGCGUCGUUGUUGUCUGCUGCUCUGCUACUGCUUGCCGCUGCUAUUUUCUGCUAGUUGCUGCUGCCCGUAGUUGCCUUGCUGCUGGUAAUUACUAUAGGUAUGGUUAGCUUUAUGAAUUUUACAUUGAGUAACCCCCUUGGCAGCCUAUAAUCAGCAGUUAAACAACUGCUAACAGGGGUAAAGAUAAUAUGAGUAGGUAGUCUACUUGACAAACUCCAUUUUACCUCACUAGACCAAAUCCAUCUGAUGAAUAGAUUAAAUCCUACAAAAAUCACAAAAUGACAUCUUAUGUUAAUAACUCCUAGCCUACUAACUUGUGUGUCCUGUGUGUGUGCGUCGUGCACGUGGCCGGAGUAGUGGCCGGCCCUUGCUUAGACUAUUAGGUGUUAAUUAAUGGCUAGAAUUGUCUAUGUACAGAUGACAUGUGGCCUCUUAUUUUUAAAAGCCUAGUUAAUAGUGUGUGCCAAUGACAAGUAGGGCCCGGUGCACUGUUUAUUGGUUGACUAGUAAGGUGUUGACUGAGUCAACCCAGCUCCUUGACACCACAUGUCAUUGAGUGUGACUAGUCCCCUGUUGCGUUAAAAAAACAUUUCACUGUUUAUAAUUUGAAUUAAAAAAAUUAAAAAAAUCCUUUAAACUUUAGAAAUUAAUAUAAAAUAAUCCGUUGCUCGGAUGAAAAAGUUUUCUACAUGAAAGUUGCUCAGAAUUUCGAGACGAAUUCAAAUACGCAGUCCGUUCGUUUGCCACACGUCUCUAGCAUAGCAAACCUGCAAGCUUUCCCUUUCGGUUCAUCUGUCUGACUCACGUCCGGGACCGAGAAAACUUUCCCGGAUGUUUCUCCCUUCGCCAGUAAAGCCUAGCACUGUGUUAGAACACCUCUAGCCCCGCUUGUAAUCACGUUGUGCAUAUGUUUGCCUGUAUUUACUGUUUCUUCCCCCUCUUCUCUCAGGUAGACCCCGAGACCGCUGCUGAUGCCCCUGUGAUCGACUACGUCGACGACGACCCUUCUUCUGUUUCAGCGGAGCUUCCACGCAAGCCCCCCCUUUGAUCAUCCCAAUAUCGCCCAUUCUAUACUCUCAUGCUUGCAUUAGAUUUUGCUACUGAUAUUGUUUGCUCCUAUUCUAAUGCAUAGCCUGCUUUUGUACCUUCUUAUUGUUACCUACCUGUUUAUCCUAAACUGCUUAGUAUAGAUUGGUUAGUGAUCCAUCAGUGACCCCCACUUGUCCUUGUUGCCCCUGCUUCAUCAUCGACGCCUCGAUCAGCGUGAUCGACGACGAGAGCCUGACACCUCACAUCACAUCACGCCCUUUUAGUUGCUCGACUCUGCAGAGCUACUAUUGAGUGCCGAGGGUGAUCCCUCUUAAACGCACUCCUGAUGUUAAUUCUGUAUUGUAGCUAUUCGGUGUGGUCAUCGACGGUGGUUCCUCUUUCACCAUUCCCGAUAUGGCUCUGUCGUGCAACACCUCAAGUGUGAACCUCGAGGGUGGUUCCUCUUACAUUCACCUUGAUGAUUACAUCGAGUGGAAUCCUCCGAGGGUGAUUCCUUGGGUUUUCCCCUUGAUGUCUGGACGCACAGUUACCUUGAAUUUACUAGAGACCAUUGUGAAAGCCGAGCGGGCCCGGGGAGCACCCGUGCGAUGUGACAGUGGCGGCUGGCUGUUUAGCGAUAUCACCCGGGAGGGGGUGAUAGCUCCAGACUUGUCCCGACAGCCGUCACUCCUUCUAAUAAUGCACUAAUAGGUUUGGGUAUUUGUUCUGAGUUGGCCUUUGGCCUUUACGCACCAACCACCACGCGAGAAUAGUUAUGGGCCUCGACGUCGUAGUAUCAGCCGAAGCUUUGUCAGACGUCCAGUUCAGCAUUGCGGCACGGCCCGGUCGGCGCCCCAGUGGAGGUGGCCUGUAUCGCCCUGCACGUAACGACCCGGAGUGCACCGGGCGAUGGGCCCAGACCCCGGAGUGCUUAGGAUGUAGACCGGCGGGGACCUCUCUGCUGAGUCUAGGUCGGGCUGCGACGUGUUGAUCUUCCGAGGCCGGGCAUGACCCAGGAAAGUGUGUCCGGCCAGAGUGAUCGAGCGUGUUGGAAAACGUGGUGCACCCCUGCAGGGAAGAUUAUCUAUUAAUAGCCGUGUCCACGGUAACGGACGUUUAGACGUAUAUCCUGAUCUUAUACAACUAGAAAUGGAUACUUGAUAUAUGAUGGAUAUGUGGCUCCGGGAUUGCUUUCUCGCAGGGAGUCGAGGAAGGAUCUUUGGGCCUUAAUGUUACAACAUGCUUGUUAAUUAAACUGCUAUUCUUUACUCUUCUACAUGCUGCAAGAUGCUUGGAGCUACUUGAAGAUGCUAGUCUUCGAUAGGCUAGGCCUUCCCCCCUUAUUCUGGCAUUCUGCAGUUCAGUCCACAGAUAUAGCCCUUCCAUUUGAUACCAAUGCAUACUUAGUGUAGAUCUGAUGCUUGCGAGUACUUUGGAUGAGUACUCACGGUUGCUUUGUUCCCCCUUUUCCCCCUUCCUUCUCCUUUCCGGUUAAUGCAACCAGAUGGUGGCCCCCAGGAGUUAGAUGCCACCCCUGCCGACUACGACUACUACCCCGAGGGUGCCUACUACUACGUGGAGCCCGCUGACGACCAGGAGUAGUUAGGAGGUCCCAGGCAGGAGGCCUUGCCUCUUCGAUCGUUGAUGUUUGUGCUAGCCUUCUUAAGGCAAAACUUGUUUAACUUAUGUCUGUACUCAGAUAUUGUUGCUUCCGCUGACUCUUGUGCUUUCGAGCUAUGUAUUCGAGCCCUCGAGGCCCCUGGCUUGUAAUAUGAAGCUUGUAUGACUUUCAUUUGUGUCUAGAGUUGUGUUGUGAUAUCUUCCCGUGAGUCCC